CCCCCGGUCGGACAGUGUCCGACCGGGGGUU
RNAcentral lists this small RNA (31 nucleotides) under Curtobacterium sp. ER1/6. The record is from RNAcentral. Lineage: Bacteria; Bacillati; Actinomycetota; Actinomycetes; Micrococcales; Microbacteriaceae.